Molecule: transfer RNA, 87 nt
Filed under: Candidatus Woesearchaeota archaeon
Lineage: Archaea; Nanobdellati; Candidatus Woesearchaeota
Description: tRNA-Ile
Rfam family: tRNA
About the family: Transfer RNA (tRNA) molecules are approximately 80 nucleotides in length. Their secondary structure includes four short double-helical elements and three loops (D, anti-codon, and T loops).
Source: RNAcentral
GGCCCCGUGGCUUAGCCUGGUAGAGCGCACGACUGAUAACCGAUGAUUGAAAUCGUGAGGUCCCGUGUUCAAAUCACGGCGGGGCCA